This 2314-nucleotide long non-coding RNA is filed under the name Marmota monax (woodchuck). Lineage: Eukaryota; Metazoa; Chordata; Mammalia; Rodentia; Sciuridae. The record is from RNAcentral.
UGAAUUUCAGUGAAGACUCUUUCACCCACUUUGCUUGACUCCCAAGCCAUGGAACUACUGGAAAUACAGCCUUCUCUAAUCUGCCAUUUUGAAUCUGCAAUACAUAAAUGUACUGUUGUUAACCCAGGAAAAAGAUAUAGCUGUUUUUAUUAAACCAAAACUAUUAAGUUAGUCUUGUUUGUGAAAGAUUUGCUCUUAUUAAUAUGAACUGGAUUCUCAAAAUAUGUCUUAGUUUUAGUGAGAAGGAGUUUAUUUAAGCUCAGCAUAUUUCAAGCAUUAGAAUUUCAGUCUCCUUAUUCUGGGAAUUUUCGGAAUAUUCAGUUAUAUAAGAGCUUAUUUAUCCCUAUGUCAGUCAGAAUAGUACUCCUUUAAUUUGAGAGGCUCCACACUGUCAUUUAUUAAUAUUCCCUGUAGAUACUUCAUCCUCACAUAAUGAGAGGUAAGAGCCUUUCUGAAUUUUAGUCAUACAGAGACAGAGCCUAUCAUUUCAGCUGUACAUAUUUGGCACAAGUCAAGAGUAAGCACAGAGUCACAAAACUCACUGGUCCACAUGUCAAAGAGAUGUUCUCCUUUCCAGUGAGCAUAACAUUUUUAAUCAAUGUGAACUAAAAAAAAGAAAGAAAGAAAAGAAAAAAAGACAAAUAGAGAAAUAAUUAUUUUCCAAGCCUGACAAAUCAGAUUCUCUUAUCCAACAUAUAUAUAUCAUCAUCUACCUACUAUAAUCUUUAGAUAAUCAUACUAUGAAACCAAAGCCCUUAUCAUUGCUCUUACUAAUGGGAAAUAAUCUAUGUGCCAUAAAUGAACAACAACAACAAAAAGACAUAAAAUUAGUAGAGAGGGAAAAAAAUCUAAUGAAACAGAGAACCAACAGAUUUAAAGUUCUGCUUUGGAUUCACCUCUGAGAACCACAAAAAGACAGGCUAGAGUAUAAACUGCUCAGGAGGAAGACUUCUCUUGGAAUUCCAUUCAUCUGGCUCUGCCAGGUGAAUCCAUGGGCAUCCCAAUGGAUUUAAAACUGAUUUUUUUAAAAAAAAAUUUUAAAAAAUCAUGAUUUUCAUACACAUUGUAAUGAGUGGGCUAUUCCAUUUACAUAGAUAAACAAGUUUUCGUCUUUCCACAAUGUCAGGAUUUAUUGAACAUCAAUAAAUUCACAAGCUACAUCAGUUUCAUCAGCUUUAGUUCACUAAGUACUCCUGAUUUUACUUGGUAGUCAUGACUGUGGCAAUUCAAGUUCUUUAUUCCAUUCCAAUCUUAAUUACUAAUAUCUAUAAUAUGCAAAUCACUCAUUAUAGUUCAUGCAGUGGUAAAAGGUUACAAAGAGGCUGAAAAAGAGUUAAGGUGGCCACAGAAUAUGAAGAGGUAAUACAAAGAACAAAUACAAAUACAAAGAACAAAUACAAAGAGCCACUGCAGAUGAUCAGAAAAGGAGUUAGUGAAGACAGCCAUGAAGCUAGCUGUCAAGGUGAAAGGGUCUUGAUAAAUCCUUAAAUCCAUGUGUCCCUGAUUUAAUUUGAUAAGGUAGUAAUUUUUUAUAAGCAUGAAUAAAUUAUCAGUAUGUGCCUUAUAAUUGUUCUUUAGAGCUGGUGGUGGUUCUUCUGUGUGUCCAACAUGUGAUGGUUUUCUACUUGCACAAACAAGAUGCUGGUUCAUUUUGCCUUAGCACUUGUACUGCAAAUGGAGUAACUUAGGGCAGAGCACAGCCUGCUAUCUUCAGAUAUAAAAGGAAGAUGUAUCAAAAUGUAUUCAGCUGAUUAAUAAGGAAUAGAUUAUUUAAUGAGGAAACCAAUAGAUGUCAAAAUUGACCCAGAAGAGAAUUUACUAAUGCAAACAUAUGUAAGUUAUCAGACAUGUUGAAAUGAAUUUAUAAACAGGUAUGAAACUGAUCAAUACUCACAGGGCAGUUUUUUGUCUUACACUAAACAAAAUGUAUUUGUACUACUAUAAGUUGUCUACAAUUUACUGAGUUGUAAGAUAAAGACAAUGAAAAGCGCAGCCAUAUAGUAUCAGAUAACCCCAAAAGACACAUUUGACAAAAAACCUGGUAGUCUUUUUGCUGUUGUUGUUGUCUACUUCAAACAGAACAACCCAGGUAGCAGCCCUUUCAGUCCUUGGCUUUUUGGCAAAGUUAGACACAAGUCAAACAGCCUUCCGUCUACAACUUAGUAGUCUCUUAGAGUAAAAGUGGGGGAAGGGUUUGUGUUCACCUAUGCCUGCACUACUAGCUGGUGAGGCCUUGACUUGUGGCCUCACUUUCCUCCGGGCAUCUUAUGACCUAUCCUGGGAUCACCUAGAAAUAAGCAUUGCAGGGUGGAGG